GUGCAUGGUAGGCAGUUUGACUGGGGCGGUCUCCUCCCAAAGCGUAACGGAGGAGUACGAAGGUACGCUAGGUACGGUCGGAAAUCGUGCUGAUAGUGCAAUGGCAUAAGCGUGCUUAACUGCGAGACCGACAAGUCGAGCAGGUGCGAAAGCAGGUCAUAGUGAUCCGGUGGUUCUGUAUGGAAGGGCCAUCGCUCAACGGAUAAAAGGUACUCUGGGGAUAACAGGCUGAUACCGCCCAAGAGUUCAUAUCGACGGCGGUGUUUGGCACCUCGAUGUCGGCUCAUCUCAUCCUGGGGCUGUAGCCGGUCCCAAGGGUAUGGCUGUUCGCCAUUUAAAGAGGUACGUGAGCUGGGUUUAAAACGUCGUGAGACAGUUUGGUCCCUAUCUGCCGUGGGCGUUGGAUAUUUGAAGGGGGCUGCUCCUAGUACGAGAGGACCGGAGUGGACGAACCUCUGGUGUACCGGUUGUCACGCCAGUGGCAUCGCCGGGUAGCUAUGUUCGGAAGAGAUAACCGCUGAAAGCAUCUAAGCGGGAAACUCGCCUUAAGAUGAGAUAUCCCUGGGGACUGGAUCCCCUUGAAGGGUCGUUCGAGACCAGGACGUUGAUAGGUCAGGUGUGUAAGCGCAGUAAUGCGUUCAGCUAACUGAUACUAAUUGCCCGUAAGGCUUGAUCCUAUAACA
This 683-nucleotide ribosomal RNA is filed under the name Burkholderia cenocepacia. Its description in RNAcentral is "bacterial LSU rRNA". It matches the Rfam family "Bacterial large subunit ribosomal RNA", at positions 2254 to 2925 of the family's 2925-position model. The record is from RNAcentral. Lineage: Bacteria; Pseudomonadati; Pseudomonadota; Betaproteobacteria; Burkholderiales; Burkholderiaceae.